RNAcentral lists this ribosomal RNA (696 nucleotides) under uncultured bacterium. Its description in RNAcentral is "bacterial SSU rRNA". It matches the Rfam family "Bacterial small subunit ribosomal RNA", at positions 8 to 691 of the family's 1533-position model. The record is from RNAcentral.
AGAGUUUGAUCCUGGCUCAGAGUGAACGCCGGCGGUAGGCCUGACACAUGCAAGUCGAACGGCAGCACAGUAAGAGCUUGCUCUUAUGGGUGGCGAGUGGCGGACGGGUGAGGAAUACAUCGGAAUCUACUCUGUCGUGGGGGAUAACGUAGGGAAACUUACGCUAAUACCGCAUACGACCUACGGGUGAAAGCAGGGGAUCUUCGGACCUUGCGCGAUUGAAUGAGCCGAUGUCGGAUUAGCUAGUUGGCGGGGUAAAGGCCCACCAAGGCGACGAUCCGUAGCUGGUCUGAGAGGAUGAUCAGCCACACUGGAACUGAGACACGGUCCAGACUCCUACGGGAGGCAGCAGUGGGGAAUAUUGGACAAUGGGCGCAAGCCUGAUCCAGCCAUACCGCGUGGGUGAAGAAGGCCUUCGGGUUGUAAAGCCCUUUUGUUGGGAAAGAAAUCCAGCUGGCUAAUACCCGGUUGGGAUGACGGUACCCAAAGAAUAAGCACCGGCUAACUUCGUGCCAGCAGCCGCGGUAAUACGAAGGGUGCAAGCGUUACUCGGAAUUACUGGGCGUAAAGCGUGCGUAGGUGGUCGUUUAAGUCCGUUGUGAAAGCCCUGGGCUCAACCUGGGAACUGCAGUGGAUACUGGGCGACUAGAGUGUGGUAGAGGGUAGCGGAAUUCCUGGUGUAGCAGUGAAAUGCGU